This 24-nucleotide small nuclear RNA is filed under the name Arabidopsis thaliana (thale cress). RNAcentral's name for it is "snRNA_09691". Lineage: Eukaryota; Viridiplantae; Streptophyta; Magnoliopsida; Brassicales; Brassicaceae. The record is from RNAcentral.
AUUGUGUGGUCGAAUGACAUUGAG